RNAcentral lists this ribosomal RNA (253 nucleotides) under uncultured bacterium. RNAcentral's name for it is "partial 16S ribosomal RNA". It matches the Rfam family "Bacterial small subunit ribosomal RNA", at positions 524 to 776 of the family's 1533-position model. The record is from RNAcentral.
UACGCACUGUGCGAGCGUUAUUCGGAAUCACUGGGCUUACAGGGUGCGUAGGCGGCUUUGCAAGUCAGGUGUGAAAGCCCCCGGCUCAACUGGGGAGGGUCAUUCGAUACUGAUCGACUCGAAGGCAGGAGAGGGAAGUGGAAUUCCCGGUGUAGUGGUGAAAUGCGUAGAUAUCGGGAGGAACACCAGUGGCGAAGGCGACUUCCUGGCCUGUUCUUGACGCUGAGGCGCGAAAGCUAGGGGAGCAAACGGG